Molecule: ribosomal RNA, 255 nt
Filed under: uncultured bacterium
Lineage: Bacteria
Description: partial 16S ribosomal RNA
Rfam family: Bacterial small subunit ribosomal RNA
Source: RNAcentral
AGCGAACGCUGGCGGCAGGCUUAACACAUGCAAGUCGAACGGGCGUAGCAAUACGUCAGUGGCAGACGGGUGAGUAACGCGUGGGAACGUACCUUUUGGUUCGGAACAACCCAGGGAAACUUGGGCUAAUACCGGAUAAGCCCUUACGGGGAAAGAUUUAUCGCCGAAAGAUCGGCCCGCGUCUGAUUAGCUAGUUGGUGUGGUAACGGCGCACCAAGGCGACGAUCAGUAGCUGGUCUGAGAGGAUGAUCAGCC